This 492-nucleotide ribosomal RNA is filed under the name uncultured bacterium. RNAcentral describes it as "partial 16S ribosomal RNA". It matches the Rfam family "Bacterial small subunit ribosomal RNA", at positions 29 to 507 of the family's 1533-position model. The record is from RNAcentral.
AGUGAACGCUGGCGGUAGGCCUAACACAUGCAAGUCGAACGGCAGCACAGUAAGAGCUUGCUCUUACGGGUGGCGAGUGGCGGACGGGUGAGGAAUACAUCGGAAUCUACUUUUUCGUGGGGGAUAACGUAGGGAAACUUACGCUAAUACCGCAUACGACCUACGGGUGAAAGCAGUGGAUCUUCGGACCUUGCCCGAUUGAAUUAGCUGAUGUCGGGUUAGCUAGUUGGCGGGGUAAAGGCCCACCAAGGCGACGAUCCGUAGCUGGUCUGAGAGGAUGAUCAGCCACACUGGAACUGAGACACGGUCCAGACUCCUACGGGAGGCAGCAGUGGGGAAUAUUGGACAAUGGGCGCAAGCCUGAUCCAGCCAUACCGCGUGGGUGAAGAAGGCCUUCGGGUUGUAAAGCCCUUUUGUUGGGAAAGAAAAGCAGCAGGUUAAUACCCCGCUGUUCUGACGGUACCCAAAGAAUAAGCACCGGCUAACUUCGUG